RNAcentral lists this ribosomal RNA (253 nucleotides) under uncultured bacterium. RNAcentral describes it as "partial 16S ribosomal RNA". It matches the Rfam family "Bacterial small subunit ribosomal RNA", at positions 524 to 776 of the family's 1533-position model. The record is from RNAcentral.
UACGGAGGGUGCAAGCGUUGUCCGGAAUCACUGGGCGUAAAGGGCGCGUAGGCGGCCCGGUAAGUAGGGGGUGAAAUCCUGCGGCUUAACCGCAGGGCUGCCUUCUAAACUGUCGGGCUCGAGCACGGUAGAGGCAGAUGGAAUUCCCGGUGUAGCGGUGGAAUGCGUAGAGAUCGGGAAGAACAUCAGUGGCGAAGGCGGUCUGCUGGGCCGUUGCUGACGCUGAGGCGCGACAGCGUGGGAAGCAAACAGG